UCAGUCGACUCCUACGGGAGGCAGCAGUGGGGAAUCUUGCGCAAUGGGCGAAAGCCUGACGCAGCCAUGCCGCGUGAAUGAUGAAGGUCUUAGGAUUGUAAAAUUCUUUCACCGGGGACGAUAAUGACGGUACCCCGGAGAAGAAGCCCCGGCUAACUUCGUGCCAGCAGCCGCGGUAAUACGAAGGGGGCUAGCGUUGCUCGGAAUUACUGGGCGUAAAGGGAGUGUAGGCGGACAUUUAAGUCAGGGGUGAAAUCCCGGGGCUCAACCUCGGAAUUGCCUUUGAUACUGGGUGUCUUGAGUGUGAGAGAGGUAUGUGGAACUCCGAGUGUAGAGGUGAAAUUCGUAGAUAUUCGGAAGAACACCAGUGGCGAAGGCGACAUACUGGCUCAUUACUGACGCUGAGGCUCGAAAGCGUGGGGAGCAAACAGGAUUAGAUACCCUGGUAG
RNAcentral lists this ribosomal RNA (449 nucleotides) under uncultured bacterium. Its description in RNAcentral is "bacterial SSU rRNA". It matches the Rfam family "Bacterial small subunit ribosomal RNA", at positions 328 to 793 of the family's 1533-position model. The record is from RNAcentral.